UUCGUAUUCUGACCUCAGAUUAGACGUGAAAACCCGCUGAAUUAAGC
RNAcentral lists this ribosomal RNA (47 nucleotides) under Paralongidorus iranicus. RNAcentral describes it as "partial 26S ribosomal RNA". Lineage: Eukaryota; Metazoa; Nematoda; Enoplea; Dorylaimida; Longidoridae. The record is from RNAcentral.